Camellia sinensis is the source of this 1403-nucleotide non-coding RNA. Lineage: Eukaryota; Viridiplantae; Streptophyta; Magnoliopsida; Ericales; Theaceae. The record is from RefSeq and is a predicted model, not a curated record.
UUUCUAAAUUCGCGCGCACCCAUGAAUGACAGAGGACGACUCUUUCAUUCCCAACCGAUUGAAUUUCACAAGCACACAGGUCUUUCUGAAACGAAGCCCUAUUUCGUUUUAACCCUUUGAUUGUCAAAAGGAACAUAGAAAGGGUUAGGCACAGAGAAGAGAAGGGUUCGAAGGAGCAAAAUCGCAGGAGAAUGGAAGGGUCUGAACUGUCUCAUCGCAGAGAGAUGGAGAGCUGAAGGAAGGAGCAAAGCGAAGAAGGCCAUGUGGGAGGAUAACAAAACUAGAUCAAAGUGGGUUAUCGUCAAUCGAUGCCACUUCCCUGAUGACUUGCCAGAGGUAGUUGGCCGACUGUGUUCCCCUGAAAGCAAUGAGGGUUCUAUCUUGUUGAUGACUCCCUUAUUUUCAAGGUUUAUUUUGCAACUUUAGCUCUAGCCUCAAGAAUUUGUCACAGGCCCUCUUCCAUCCAAGCACUCAAAUUCUCUGCCCUUUGAUUUGGAGGAAAACCCAGAAAGAUGAGAUGAGAGAGUUCAGCCAUUUCAUAUCAAUAUUGGGGUUGGGAAGAGGGGAGGCAGAGGGAUGAGGGUAUAACAAUUGAUUGAAGCAGUCAUUUGCUAUUUUCUAUGGAUUCUUUGCAAAAUUUUGUUAGUGGUUCUGCUUCCUACAGGACUGGCCAUAUUUAGCUGUAUGCCAACAACAUUAUCAAGUGGAGUGGCGUUGACUCGGUUUGCUAGGGGGAAUUUUGCUCUUGCGCUUGCAAUGACUGUAAUAUCUAAUCUGCUGGGAAUCUUGAUUGGGAUCUUGAUGACUGUCCAAGUUCAUGCCACUCUUACAUUUCAAUUAGCUCUCUUAGUAGAUAGUGUUGCUUGAAGAGCAAUGGAGAAUCAAUGAGUAACUGAAUGCAAGAGUACAAAACUUGGAGUCUAAUAGUGUGGAGAUCAAUGCCAAGAUUGAUUUGAUGCUACAACAGAUUAGUCAGGGAGGUUUUACUCCUGAUUUAUCAUCAUAGUAAGUACCUUCUGCAUAUAUAACCAGUUCAUAAAUUAAGUUCCUUACCCCCGCUACUCUCUCAAUAACCUUAAUCUUCAUUGUCAAUUGAAAAUAAAUAUACAUACUCUGUUUAGAGUGAUUUGGUGAGAAAUGAAGAAGGGGGUGUUUGGUUUAUAAUUUUGGAUUUGUUGAUUCUAUAUAUAUUUGGUUUUAUGACUUUAAAAUAUCCGGCCAUAUAUUGAAGAUUUUCAUUUUAGAUUUAUUGAUUCUAUGUGUAUGUCAUAUUUAUAUAUGGUAAUACAAACAUUUUAUACUAGUAACAAUCAAAGUCGUUAUUCCUUUUCUAUUGAUGCAGGAGAUGAAGAGUCAUUGUGAUGAGAAAAUUUUUGAUUUUGUCUUUUGUCAAAAAUUUCCUG